GGAUAGCCAUGCGAGUUAACGUAGCAAUACGUGGCAUACGGCUCAGUAACACGUAGUCAACAUGCCCAGGGGACGUGGAUAACCUCGGGAAACUGAGGAUAAACCGCGAUAGGCCAAGAUUUCUGGAAUGAAUCAUGGUUUAAAUCUAUAUGGCCCCUGGAUUGGACUGCGGCCGAUCAGGCUGUUGGUGAGGUAAUGGCCCACCAAACCUGUAACCGGUACGGGCUCUGAGAGGAGGAGCCCGGAGAUGGGCACUUAGACAAGGGCCCAGGCCCUAUGGGGCGCAGCAGGCGCGAAACCUCUGCAAUAAGCGAAAGCUUGACAGGGUUACUCUGAGUGAUUUCCGCUAAGGAAGUCUUUUGGCACCUCUAAAAAUGGUGCAGAAUAAGGGGUGGGCAAGUCUGGUGUCAGCCGCCGCGGUAAUACCAGCACCCCGAGUGGUCGGGACGAUUAUUGGGCCUAAAGCAUCCGUAGCCGGUCCUGCAAGUCCUCCGUUAAAUCCACCCGCUCAACGGUUGGGCCGCGGGGGAUACUACAGGGCUAGGAGGCGGGAGAGGCAAGCGGUACUCGAUGGGUAGGGGUAAAAUCCACUGAUCCAUUGAAGACCACCAGUGGCGAAGGCGGCUUGCCAGAACGCGCUCGACGGUGAGGGAUGAAAGCUGGGGGAGCAAACCGGAUUAGAUACCCGGGUAGUCCCAGCUGUAAACGAUGCAGACUCGGUGAUGGGCUGGCUUCGUGCCAACCCGGUGCCGCAGGGAAGCCGUUAAGUCUGCCGCCUGGGGAGUACGGUCGCAAGACUGAAACUUAAAGGAAUUGGCGGGGGAGCAUCACAAGGGGUGAAGCCUGCGGUUC
This 852-nucleotide ribosomal RNA is filed under the name uncultured crenarchaeote. RNAcentral's name for it is "bacterial SSU rRNA". It matches the Rfam family "Archaeal small subunit ribosomal RNA", at positions 43 to 903 of the family's 1478-position model. The record is from RNAcentral. Lineage: Archaea; Thermoproteati; Thermoproteota.